AGUGAACGCUGGCGGUAGGCCUAACACAUGCAAGUCGAACGGCAGCACAGGAGAGCUUGCUCUCUGGGUGGCGAGUGGCGGACGGGUGAGGAAUACAUCGGAAUCUACUCUGUCGUGGGGGAUAACGUAGGGAAACUUACGCUAAUACCGCAUACGACCUACGGGUGAAAGCAGGGGACCUUCGGGCCUUGCGCGAUUGAAUGAGCCGAUGUCGGAUUAGCUAGUUGGCGGGGUAAAGGCCCACCAAGGCGACGAUCCGUAGCUGGUCCGAGAGGAUGAUCAGCCACACUGGAACUGAGACACGGUCCAGACUCCUACGGGAGGCAGCAGUGGGGAAUAUUGGACAAUGGGCGCAAGCCUGAUCCAGCCAUACCGCGUGGGUGAAGAAGGCCUUCGGGUUGUAAAGCCCUUUUGUUGGGAAAGAAAUCCAGCUGGCUAGUACCCGGUUGGGAUGACGGUACCCAAAGAAUAAGCACCGGCUAACUUCGUGCCAGCCGCCGCCGUAA
Molecule: ribosomal RNA, 506 nt
Filed under: uncultured bacterium
Lineage: Bacteria
Description: partial 16S ribosomal RNA
Rfam family: Bacterial small subunit ribosomal RNA
Source: RNAcentral